GAUGAACGCUAGCUACAGGCUUAACACAUGCAAGUCGAGGGGUAACGAGAGGAAAGCUUGCUUUCCUUGUCGACGACCGGCGCACGGGUGAGUAACGCGUAUCCAACCUGCCCCCAACUAGGGAAUAACCUUGCGAAAGUAAGACUAAUACCCUAUAAUUUCCUCAGAUGUCAUCUGACGAGGAAUAAAGAUUUAUCGGUUGUGGAUGGGGAUGUGUCUGAUUAGCUUGGUGGCGGGGUAACGGCCCACCAAGGCAACGAUCAGUAGGGGUUCUGAGAGGAAGGUCCCCCACAUUGGGACUGAGACACGGUCCAAACUCCUACGGGAGGCAGCAGUGAGGAAUAUUGGUCAAUGGGCGGAAGCCUGAACCAGCCAAGUAGCGUGCAGGAUGACGGCCCUAUGGGUUGUAAACUGCUUUUAUACAGGAAUAAAGUUAGCCACGUGUGGUUAUUUGUAGGUACUGUAUGAAUAAGGACCGGCUAAUUCCGUGCCAGCCGCCGCAGUAA
This 506-nucleotide ribosomal RNA is filed under the name uncultured bacterium. Its description in RNAcentral is "partial 16S ribosomal RNA". It matches the Rfam family "Bacterial small subunit ribosomal RNA", at positions 28 to 523 of the family's 1533-position model. The record is from RNAcentral.